This 1294-nucleotide unclassified non-coding RNA is filed under the name Andicolea thuyoides. RNAcentral's name for it is "partial external transcribed spacer". The record is from RNAcentral. Lineage: Eukaryota; Viridiplantae; Streptophyta; Magnoliopsida; Asterales; Asteraceae.
UAGUCGAACUUUGUUCUCGACUAAUGAGUGGCAAUAUAUUCGACGCCCAAGGUAAUCUAAGUCAACUUCCAAGUGGGGAGUUCGUUUUGGGUUUUCCAAAACGAACGAUGAUCUGCGGCAACAUCGGGAAUUAUGUGGCGUCGACGAAAGUCUUGCCACUUCUCGAUGUUGUUGACCCGUCUCCUGAUUUUGAAUCUCUUGAACGAACGAUGAUCUGUGGCAACAUCGGGAAUUAUGUGGCGUCGACAAAAGUCGUGCCACUUCUCGAAGUUGUUGACCCGUCUCCUGAUUUUGAAUCUCUUGUUUCGUUUUCCGAUGAUAUUCGUUAAAAGAUGCGGCUAUGGCUGGUUGCUUGGGGAUCUUAGUUUGACUUUGAUCUUAGUUUUAAGGUUAAUUGGUUUUUUAUUGAGAUUCGCAUGAUCCGUCUGAUUGUAUGGCAUGUUCUUGUUUGAUUGUUGCCUUAUGAUUGGAUUGUUCGUGUAAUCGAUGACAUGAUGUGACUUGUUAAUCUUAAAACUUGUGAUGGCGAUUUGGCAUUGUUGCAUUUGUUGAUGAGUAUUGUUGAACGAAUAUGCAAGUGUUUCUUGGUAGCUCAUUUGUCUGAUGCGUCGUUGAUGAAAUUCGUCUCAAUAGGAUGUGGUGUCAUGUUGUUUGUUGAUCCUAGUUUCAAGCUUGUUAAGCUUAAAACACAUGGAAUAUCGAUUAGUGAUAGGUCAUCGUGUCUUUGGUUGAUGAAGGUCGUUCAAUGAUGCAUCAGUUUGAUUGUGUUCUCGCAUCGUUCGGUGCAUUCUGGGGUCAUUUUGGCUAUUAGAUGCUUGCCUGGCAUUUGAGCUUGGUGGGUGGCUGUUAGUUGGGUGAUUUCGGGGAUGUCUACCGUAAAGGUGCAUGAGUGGUGUUUGGUUUGUUACGGGUGGUUGGCUCUUUGCUUGUGCAACAACUUCCACCUGGCAUACCUCUUCAGUCUUGUGUCAAUGCUUGUAUCGCAUUGAAUGCACGGUGGGUUUCUUGUGUUGCGUACCCAAUUGAUGGUAUCAUUUGAAGAAUUGAUGUCCAUUUUUGUCUUAUGUCGCACGUGCGAUGCGAGAUGAACCUUGAAGCAGCCUUUGUGUUCCACUCUUUCGAUGCACACACAUUGAUUUUGUGGCCCAUUGAGUGUUGCUUGGUCUCAUGGAUAUGGAACCUGGUGUGGGCAUGAGAUCUUUUACUAGUUCCUUGUUUGCCCUAUUUUAGUUUUUCUAAAACGAUUGUCUAUCAUGUUUUAAUGUGGUAGGCUAUAUCGAAUAUGAAUGCUACC